UGGAACUCCAUGUGUAGCGGUGAAAUGCGUAGAUAUAUGGAAGAACACCAGUGGCGAAGGCGGCUGUCUGGUCUGUAACUGACGCUGAGGCUCGAAAGUAUGGGUAGCAAACAGGAUUAGAUACCCUGGUAGUCCAUACCGUAAACGAUGAAUGCUAAGUGUUGGAGGGUUUCCGCCCUUCAGUGCUGCAGCUAACGCAUUAAGCAUUCCGCCUGGGGAGUACGGCCGCAAGGCUGAAACUCAAAGGAAUUGACGGGGGCCCGCACAAGCGGUGGAGCAUGUGGUUUAAUUCGAAGCUACGCGAAGAACCUUACCAGGUCUUGACAUACUAUGCAAAUCUAAGAGAUUAGACGUUCCCUUCGGGGACAUGGAUACAGGUGGUGCAUGGUUGUCGUCAGCUCGUGUCGUGAGAUGUUGGGUUAAGUCCCGCAACGAGCGCAACCCUUAUUAUCAGUUGCCAGCAUUAAGUUGGGCACUCUGGUGAGACUGCCGGUGACAAACCGGAGGAAGGUGGGGAUGACGUCAAAUCAUCAUGCCCCUUAUGACCUGGGCUACACACGUGCUACAAUGGAUGGUACAACGAGUUGCGAACUCGCGAGAGUAAGCUAAUCUCUUAAAGCCA
RNAcentral lists this ribosomal RNA (622 nucleotides) under Lactiplantibacillus plantarum. RNAcentral describes it as "bacterial SSU rRNA". It matches the Rfam family "Bacterial small subunit ribosomal RNA", at positions 662 to 1284 of the family's 1533-position model. Lineage: Bacteria; Bacillati; Bacillota; Bacilli; Lactobacillales; Lactobacillaceae. The record is from RNAcentral.